This 163-nucleotide unclassified non-coding RNA is filed under the name soil metagenome. RNAcentral's name for it is "partial internal transcribed spacer 1". The record is from RNAcentral.
GUGAAUUGAAUAUGUUAGCGGACCUCUUCGGAGUCCCUAGCAUCAAAUCAUAUCCAUAACACCUGUGAACUGUAAGGCUGUCUUGGAAACGAAAGUGAUUAGAGCGCCUGCCCAUUUUAUACAAACAUUAAAGUAACAAACGUAGUCUUAUUAUAAUCUAAUA